GAGUUUGAUCUUGGCUCAGAUUGAACGCUGGCGGCAUGCCUUACACAUGCAAGUCGAACGGCAGCACUGGAGCUUGCUCCUGGUGGCGAGUGGCGAACGGGUGAGUAAUGCAUCGGAACGUAUCCUGGAGUGGGGGAUAACGUAGCGAAAGUUACGCUAAUACCGCAUAUUCUGUGAGCAGGAAAGCGGGGGACCUUCGGGCCUCGCGCUCUUGGAGCGGCCGAUGUCGGAUUAGCUAGUUGGUGAGGUAAAGGCUCACCAAGGCGACGAUCCGUAGCAGGUCUGAGAGGAUGAUCUGCCACACUGGAACUGAGACACGGUCCAGACUCCUACGGGAGGCAGCAGUGGGGAAUUUUGGACAAUGGGGGCAACCCUGAUCCAGCCAUGCCGCGUGAGUGAAGAAGGCCUCGGUUGUAAGAC
RNAcentral lists this ribosomal RNA (420 nucleotides) under bacterium enrichment culture clone ALO1_GLFRUDD03FNPY4. Its description in RNAcentral is "bacterial SSU rRNA". It matches the Rfam family "Bacterial small subunit ribosomal RNA", at positions 9 to 431 of the family's 1533-position model. The record is from RNAcentral.